RNAcentral lists this ribosomal RNA (729 nucleotides) under Leotiomycetes sp. Its description in RNAcentral is "SSU rRNA". It matches the Rfam family "Eukaryotic small subunit ribosomal RNA", at positions 33 to 769 of the family's 1831-position model. The record is from RNAcentral. Lineage: Eukaryota; Fungi; Ascomycota; Leotiomycetes.
UGUCUCAAAGAUUAAGCCAUGCAUGUCUAAGUAUAAGCAAUCUAUACUGUGAAACUGCGAAUGGCUCAUUAAAUCAGUUAUCGUUUAUUUGAUAGUACCUUACUACUUGGAUAACCGUGGUAAUUCUAGAGCUAAUACAUGCUAAAAACCUCGACUUCGGAAGGGGUGUAUUUAUUAGAUAAAAAACCAAUGCCCUUCGGGGCUCCUUGGUGAUUCAUAAUAACUUAACGAAUCGCAUGGCCUUGCGCCGGCGAUGGUUCAUUCAAAUUUCUGCCCUAUCAACUUUCGAUGGUAGGAUAGUGGCCUACCAUGGUUUCAACGGGUAACGGGGAAUUAGGGUUCUAUUCCGGAGAGGGAGCCUGAGAAACGGCUACCACAUCCAAGGAAGGCAGCAGGCGCGCAAAUUACCCAAUCCCGACACGGGGAGGUAGUGACAAUAAAUACUGAUACAGGGCUCUUUUGGGUCUUGUAAUUGGAAUGAGUACAAUUUAAAUCCCUUAACGAGGAACAAUUGGAGGGCAAGUCUGGUGCCAGCAGCCGCGGUAAUUCCAGCUCCAAUAGCGUAUAUUAAAGUUGUUGCAGUUAAAAAGCUCGUAGUUGAACCUUGGGCCUGGCUGGCCGGUCCGCCUCACCGCGUGCACUGGUCCGGCCGGGCCUUUCCUUCUGGGGAGCCGCAUGCCCUUCACUGGGUGUGUCGGGGAACCAGGACUUUUACUUUGAAAAAAUUAG